UGCCUCGGGGGGCAGCAGUGAGGAAUAUUGGUCAAUGGCCGCAGGGCUGAACCAGCCAAGUCGCGUGAGGGAUGACGGUCCUAUGGAUUGUAAACCUCUUUUGUCAGGGAGCAAAGGGCGCCACGUGUGGCGUUUUGCGAGUACCUGAAGAAAAAGCAUCGGCUAACUCCGUGCCAGCAGCCGCGGUAAUACGGAGGAUGCGAGCGUUAUCCGGAUUUAUUGGGUUUAAAGGGUGCGUAGGCGGUCCGUUAAGUCAGCGGUAAAGUUGCGGGGCUCAACCCCGUCGAGCCGUUGAAACUGGCAGG
This 305-nucleotide ribosomal RNA is filed under the name uncultured bacterium. Its description in RNAcentral is "bacterial SSU rRNA". It matches the Rfam family "Bacterial small subunit ribosomal RNA", at positions 337 to 640 of the family's 1533-position model. The record is from RNAcentral.